AUGAGCCCCUGCCUCCUGGGCUGUGUGGUCUUCUGUCUCCUGCAGGCAGGGGUGGUCCACGCAGGUGUCACUCAGGACCCCAGAUUCCAGGUCGUGAGGACAGGACAGAGCGUGACACUUAAUUGUACUCAGGAUCUGGGUCAUGACUAUAUGUGCUGGUACCGAGAAGACCCGGGACACGGGCUGAGGCUGAUCCAUUACUCUGCUGCUGCGCCCAAUAGCGAACCAGGAGAUUUGCCCGAGGGUUACAGCGUCUCCAGAUCAAACAAAGAGAACUUCCUUCUGACGCUGAAGUCUGCCAACCGCUCCCAGACAUCUGUGUACUUCUGCGCCAGCAGUUACUCCACGGCGCUGCACGGCCACCUCCUCUCUGUGCAAAAUGUACUAGGCCUGGUGGAUUCUGAAGUCACCCAGACACCCAAGUACCGGAUCAAAUCAGGAAAACAGCAAGUGACUCUGAGAUGUUCCCCUGAAUCUGGACACCGCUCUGUGUACUGGUACCAACAGGCCCUGGGCCAGGAACCCCAGUUUCUCAUUCAGUAUUACAACACGGAAGUUAGUAAGAAAGGAAACAUAUCAGAUUGA
Molecule: non-coding RNA, 585 nt
Organism: Cervus elaphus (red deer)
Lineage: Eukaryota; Metazoa; Chordata; Mammalia; Artiodactyla; Cervidae
Source: the annotation of a RefSeq genome assembly